This 204-nucleotide unclassified non-coding RNA is filed under the name Hevea brasiliensis (rubber tree). Lineage: Eukaryota; Viridiplantae; Streptophyta; Magnoliopsida; Malpighiales; Euphorbiaceae. The record is from RNAcentral.
UGGAGGCAUUGGUGAGAUUUAUGAUUAAAGACAAGAAAAAGAAUGAGUAAGUGAUAAUGAGAAUGGGAAUGGGAUAAGAUCUGCUUCUUCGAGAUGCGAAAUCCAUGGCCAGAAAGAGAGAGAGAGAGAGAGAGAGAAAGAAGGAGAUAUUAGCGGCGAAAUAGAAGGGGUAGAUUCUGAGAUGCAGGUGGUGGUGGUUUGGAG